GUGCCAGCCGCCGCGGUAAUACGGGGGGAGCAAGCGUUGUUCGGAUUUACUGGGCGUAAAGGGCGCGUAGGCGGUCAGCACAAGUCAAUUGUGAAAUCUCCGAGCUUAACUCGGAAAGGUCAACUGAAACUGUGCGACUAGAGUGCGGAAGGGGCAACUGGAAUUCUUGGUGUAGCGGUGAAAUGCGUAGAUAUCAAGAGGAACACCUGCGGCGAAGGCGGGUUGCUGGGCCGACACUGACGCUGAAGCGCGAAAGCCAGGGGAGCGAACGGGAUUAGAUACCCGCGUAGUCC
This 293-nucleotide ribosomal RNA is filed under the name uncultured bacterium. RNAcentral describes it as "partial 16S ribosomal RNA". It matches the Rfam family "Bacterial small subunit ribosomal RNA", at positions 505 to 796 of the family's 1533-position model. The record is from RNAcentral.